GGCCAUACAACAACUCGUUUGGGGUAUGCAACCAUGAGAAUAAUUUUGUUCGUUACAUUAGUUGUGUGCCCAAUUUUCCUUCUGUUAGGUAUCAUUAGGGCAGCUGAAGAUGGGAUCAAGUUAUUCAAUAUGGGUAAUAUGUUUAGGAUCAUUCUAGGUGUGCAUUCAAUGGUUUUUUUGUUCUUAAGCUGUUCAUUAGUUUAGGAACUACAUUAACUAGUAUCAGUAGAAUUGGGUGGUCAUAGGGGGGUAGGACUAUCAGAUGAUCAAAUUGCUAAUCUAGACUCUAGAGUAGCUGCUAUUCCUGAUGAGUGCAUUGAGUUUCUCUUAUUCGCCUUUUCUCUCUCUAUUUGCCUGUGUAUCUGUCUCAAAUUUACUCAUUUUAUAUGUAUCAACUUGUUGACAUGGUAUUUUGUCUCUACAUUUUGUUGUCUAAUUUAAUAGGCAUUGGGACAAAUUUGAGGAUU
Molecule: unclassified non-coding RNA, 467 nt
Filed under: Hevea brasiliensis (rubber tree)
Lineage: Eukaryota; Viridiplantae; Streptophyta; Magnoliopsida; Malpighiales; Euphorbiaceae
Source: RNAcentral